RNAcentral lists this ribosomal RNA (1504 nucleotides) under Helicobacter pylori. RNAcentral describes it as "bacterial SSU rRNA". It matches the Rfam family "Bacterial small subunit ribosomal RNA". Lineage: Bacteria; Pseudomonadati; Campylobacterota; Epsilonproteobacteria; Campylobacterales; Helicobacteraceae. The record is from RNAcentral.
UUUAUGGAGAGUUUGAUCCUGGCUCAGAGUGAACGCUGGCGGCGUGCCUAAUACAUGCAAGUCGAACGAUGAAGCUUCUAGCUUGCUAGAAUGCUGAUUAGUGGCGCACGGGUGAGUAACGCAUAGGUCAUGUGCCUCUUAGUUUGGGAUAGCCAUUGGAAACGAUGAUUAAUACCAGAUACUCCCUACGGGGGAAAGAUUUAUCGCUAAGAGAUCAGCCUAUGUCCUAUCAGCUUGUUGGUAAGGUAAUGGCUUACCAAGGCUAUGACGGGUAUCCGGCCUGAGAGGGUGAACGGACACACUGGAACUGAGACACGGUCCAGACUCCUACGGGAGGCAGCAGUAGGGAAUAUUGCUCAAUGGGGGAAACCCUGAAGCAGCAACGCCGCGUGGAGGAUGAAGGUUUUAGGAUUGUAAACUCCUUUUGUUAGAGAAGAUAAUGACGGUAUCUAACGAAUAAGCACCGGCUAACUCCGUGCCAGCAGCCGCGGUAAUACGGAGGGUGCAAGCGUUACUCGGAAUCACUGGGCGUAAAGAGCGCGUAGGCGGGAUAGUCAGUCAGGUGUGAAAUCCUAUGGCUUAACCAUAGAACUGCAUUUGAAACUACUAUUCUAGAGUGUGGGAGAGGUAGGUGGAAUUCUUGGUGUAGGGGUAAAAUCCGUAGAGAUCAAGAGGAAUACUCAUUGCGAAGGCGACCUGCUGGAACAUUACUGACGCUGAUUGCGCGAAAGCGUGGGGAGCAAACAGGAUUAGAUACCCUGGUAGUCCACGCCCUAAACGAUGGAUGCUAGUUGUUGGAGGGCUUAGUCUCUCCAGUAAUGCAGCUAACGCAUUAAGCAUCCCGCCUGGGGAGUACGGUCGCAAGAUUAAAACUCAAAGGAAUAGACGGGGACCCGCACAAGCGGUGGAGCAUGUGGUUUAAUUCGAAGAUACACGAAGAACCUUACCUAGGCUUGACAUUGAGAGAAUCCGCUAGAAAUAGUGGAGUGUCUAGCUUGCUAGACCUUGAAAACAGGUGCUGCACGGCUGUCGUCAGCUCGUGUCGUGAGAUGUUGGGUUAAGUCCCGCAACGAGCGCAACCCCCUUUCUUAGUUGCUAACAGGUUAUGCUGAGAACUCUAAGGAUACUGCCUCCGUAAGGAGGAGGAAGGUGGGGACGACGUCAAGUCAUCAUGGCCCUUACGCCUAGGGCUACACACGUGCUACAAUGGGGUGCACAAAGAGAAGCAAUACUGCGAAGUGGAGCCAAUCUUCAAAACACCUCUCAGUUCGGAUUGUAGGCUGCAACUCGCCUGCAUGAAGCUGGAAUCGCUAGUAAUCGCAAAUCAGCCAUGUUGCGGUGAAUACGUUCCCGGGUCUUGUACUCACCGCCCGUCACACCAUGGGAGUUGUGUUUGCCUUAAGUCAGGAUGCUAAAUUGGCUACUGCCCACGGCACACACAGCGACUGGGGUGAAGUCGUAACAAGGUAACCGUAGGUGAACCUGCGGUUGGAUCACCUCCUUU